ACAGCAAGACAAAGGAAGAGAUAGGAGAAAUGAAGGGUUCCAGACUAGAAUGUUCCUGUGCAGAAGGCACUUUCAGAUAUAACCAUUGUUACAUGUGUGUAGUUUAUUCAACACUACUGUGUAUAUAGUGGACAAACUUAAGUCCAUUUUUGAAACAUCUAGUCUUUCUAGAUGUUUAGAAGUGCACAAAGUAUGUUAAAAGUAGAGGUAGUAAAAUAACACAUUUUGUAGAUACCCUUUUGUUAAAAUUCAUUUUAAAUACUGUGUUUUGGAAAUGAGAUGAUCAAAACGAUCAAGCCACCUCUGAGCAGUACACGUCAUUAUACUUGUGCUGGUUCAGCAGGGAGGGAGAGGAAAGUGCAAAGGGCUUUAUACCAGUAUGUUUAUAGUUAGGCCAGAUUAACCAUCUUCCCGUGUGCCUGUGCAUUUUGUUUACUUAGCUGUGUAUAUAGUGUAUAUGAAGGACAACUGUCCUAAUUACAACAUCUAGUCCUUCUAGAUGUUACAGAGGUUGCCAGUGUAUGACAGAAGUAGUUAGUAGACAAAUACAUUGUGUACAGUUUGUGUUAAAUUCCUAGGAAAGACUUCUGAGAACUUGAGGAAGUGGAAUUGUUAAAAUACCCUCCGAGCAUUACGGAUGUUUUUUACACUUGUCCACAGGGUUGAUUGAGAGGAGCAGAGGAAGUGUUCUAGGCCGGAGUCCUAGUUCCUUCCCGUUUAGAAGAUACUCAGAUUACAGCCUCUGAGUACGAUUUAUUCACUGCGACUCUGUGUGUAGUGAACAAAUUUAGAUCCCUAUUUGAAACAUCUGGUCCUUCUAGAUGUUUGGAAGUGCACAGCAUAUGUUAAAAGAGUUAAAGUAACACCCUGUAAGUAUUUUUUUCUUGUUAAUUCAUAGGAAUGAUUGUAUUUGGGAAUGGAAUUGUCAGACGUGGAUGUCUUGGAGAGUGUGCCGACUGUUCACGGGGGAGGGAAGAAAAUGCAGAGACAGGCUCUGUGCCCCUGAGUCUAGACAAAUUCAGAUUGUCUAACAUUGUUACGUAUGCGAUUUUAGUUAAUACUGCUAUAUAUCCAAGGAUAAACAAGUCUUAAUGCUCGAAAUAUAUUAAAAGUAGAGGUAGUAAAGUAAUCCCUUUAUAAAUGCCCUUUUGUUAGUUUUAGGCAGGUGUGUCCUGUAUUUAGUCAUUGAAAUGGUGGAGGGGAAAAGAGGAAGGGUGAAGGGAAGGGCUCUUUGCUAGUGUCUCUAUAUCUAGAAGAAAGUGUUAGCUUAUAACCAUAGGUCUGUAUGUGCAUUUUUUGUAAACUACCUGUGUUUAUUAUGGACAAGAUUCAUUAUUUUGCAACAUCUUGAGCUUUUUAGAUGUCCUGAGGUGACAGUAUAUGAUAAAAAGUAGAGCUAGUGAAUUAACCAGUUUGCAAAUAGCUUUUUGUUACAAUUGAUAGAAAAGAAGCAUCUUGGCCAUGGAAUUGUUAAACCAUCUCAGAAACGGACAUAAGGACUUGCUCAAUGGGCUGGUAGCAGAGGGGCAGGAGGAAGGCCGAGGGAGGGAGGGAUGUGGAUGUGUUCGUCGCUGCGUUGUGAUGGUAACCACUCGUGUGUGUGCAUCCCUUGGUUGUCCUGUAGGAAUAUACUGUAAAGUACUUCGGUCAAAACUUGCCUCCUUGCUAAUAUUUUAAAAGUACAGAUCAUAAUGAAUUCUCUUAGAAGCAUUGUAUUUUAUGUACUCCGUUGCUUUGUGUCUCAUUUUUAAUUGAACAUUAAAGGAAUGCAUUAUUUUAAUUGUAACUUUGCCAAUAUCUUUAUCUAAUUGUAACUUGCCAAUAUCUUUGUUGCUGUUUUUGUCCUUUAUAAAAUUUUUGUCGCCAAGAAAGGCAGGAUUACACUUUUUUGUCUUCCACACUGAGUUGGUGUAGUGUAUUCUUGGUUAUCAGAAUACUCAUAGUUUUGAGACUUUGAAAUGGUAAAUAUUCAUGAUGUGUGAAAAAGCAUGAUUCAUAACUUUAUGAUCUAUACACUAAAUGGAAGCUUAGUUGUGUAGAUAGAUUACACAGGGGACUGAGGACAUGUCAAACUGUAAACUGCUUGUGGUUAUGGAUGACUUUGUUCUUUGCUUCUUGUGUUUUUCAGUUUCCUACUAUAUGCACUUGUUAGCUUUUAAAAAAUAAAUGUUAAUUAAAAAA
Phyllostomus discolor (pale spear-nosed bat) is the source of this 2181-nucleotide long non-coding RNA. RefSeq lists it as uncharacterized. The record is from RefSeq and is a predicted model, not a curated record. The transcript has 2 exons. NCBI's taxonomy places the organism in Eukaryota, Metazoa, Chordata, Mammalia, Chiroptera, Phyllostomidae.